AUUGAACGCUGGCGGCAGGCCUAACACAUGCAAGUCGAGCGGAUGAAGGGAGCUUGCGCCUGGAUUCAGCGGCGGACGGGUGAGUAAUGCCUAGGAAUCUGCCUGGUAGUGGGGGAUAACGUCCGGAAACGGGCGCUAAUACCGCAUACGACCUGAGGGAGAAAGUGGGGGAUCUUCGGACCUCACGCUAUCAGAUGAGCCUAGGUCGGAUUAGCUAGUUGGUGGGGUAAAGGCCUACCAAGGCGACGAUCCGUAACUGGUCUGAGAGGAUGAUCAGACACACUGGAACUGGGACACUGUCCAGACUCCUACGGGAGGCAGCAGUGGGGAAUAUUGGACAAUGGGCGAAAGCCUGAUCCAGCCAUGCCGCGUGUGUGAAGAAGGUCUUCGGAUUGUAAAGCACUUUAAGUUGGGAGGAAGGGCAGUAAGUUAAUACCUUGCUGUUUUGACGUUACCAACAGAAUAAGCACCGGCUAACUUCGUG
This 484-nucleotide ribosomal RNA is filed under the name uncultured bacterium. RNAcentral describes it as "partial 16S ribosomal RNA". It matches the Rfam family "Bacterial small subunit ribosomal RNA", at positions 30 to 507 of the family's 1533-position model. The record is from RNAcentral.